This 71-nucleotide transfer RNA is filed under the name Myxococcus stipitatus DSM 14675. RNAcentral describes it as "tRNA-Met (CAT) (tRNA-Met-CAT-2-1)". The record is from RNAcentral. Lineage: Bacteria; Pseudomonadati; Myxococcota; Myxococcia; Myxococcales; Myxococcaceae.
UGCGGGGAGGGGCUGGUGCCCCACCGGGCCUCAUAAGCCUGGCAACCAGGGUUCGACUCCCUGCUCCGCAA